RNAcentral lists this ribosomal RNA (301 nucleotides) under uncultured bacterium. Its description in RNAcentral is "partial 16S ribosomal RNA". It matches the Rfam family "Bacterial small subunit ribosomal RNA", at positions 509 to 807 of the family's 1533-position model. The record is from RNAcentral.
CAGUCGCCGCGGUAAAACGUAGGUGGCAAGCGUUGUCCGGAAUUAUUGGGCGUAAAGGGCUCGCAGGCGGUUUCUUAAGUCUGAUGUGAAAGCCCCCGGCUCAACCGGGGAGGGUCAUCGGAAACUGGGAAACUUGAGUGCAGAAGAGGAGAGUGGAAUUCCACGUGUAGCGGUGAAAUGCGUAGAGAUGUGGAGGAACGCCAGUGGCGAAGGCGACUCUCUGGUCUGUAACUGACGCUGAGGAGCGAAAGCGUGGGGAGCGAACAGGAUUAGAGACCCGCGUAGUUCCUGUCUCUUAUAC